GGGGUUUUUGGGGGAUAUAUUAGAGUUAUGUUUAUAUAUGUUUGGUCCCUCAUUGGAGUCCACCUGUGUAGGUUCGGACCCGAGGAACCGAGGACCCCAGCAGUGAGUGAGCUGCUUCAGUGUCUGGUCAGAGCUAACCAGAGGUGAGUGGAAACAAGCUUAAUGUUUUAAAUCGAAUAACUGAAUGUUUUGAGCAUGCUUCACGCAUCAUGAUGAUAUGUAAUAGGCUGAUUGCAUUAGUUCACGAAUAUGUUGCAUUGCAUUUUCUUUUGUGGUUGUGGGUGAAUGCUGUAUGAUCCAAUUAGUCCACGAGACUUAAUAUAUGAUAUAACAGGAAGACCAGGACCCCAUGCUACGGCCUGGCACGAGGCUUAAUACAUGAUAUGACAGGAAGACCAGGACCCCAUGCUACGGCCUGGCACGAGGCUUAAUACAUGAUAUGACAGGAAGACCAGGACCCCAUGCUACGGCCUGGCACGAGACUUUAUGUAUGUUAUGACAGGAAGACCAGGACCCCAUGCUACGGCCUGGCACGAGACUAUGUUGGGACUAAUUGGUGACAGGUUCACCCUUGAUGUGAAUUGUUUGUGAUAUGAUGCAUUUCAUGAAAGCAUGAAUUUUAAUAUAAUGUUUUUAGUUUCUGCUCACUGGGCUUUUAGCUCACCCCUCUCCCAUAACCCCAG
Molecule: long non-coding RNA, 683 nt
Filed under: Manihot esculenta (cassava)
Lineage: Eukaryota; Viridiplantae; Streptophyta; Magnoliopsida; Malpighiales; Euphorbiaceae
Description: long non-coding RNA (MESC_LNC005511)
Source: RNAcentral